UACGGGGGGGGCAAGCGUUGUUCGGAAUUACUGGGCGUAAAGGGCGCGUAGGCGGCCUUCUAAGUCAGACGUGAAAUCCCUCGGCUCAACCGAGGAACUGCGUCUGAUACUGGAAGGCUUGAAUCCGGGAGAGGGAUGUGGAAUUCCAGGUGUAGCGGUGAAAUGCGUAGAUAUCUGGAGGAACACCGGUGGCGAAGGCGGCAUCCUGGACCGGUAUUGACGCUGAGGCGCGAAAGCUAGGGGAGCAAGCGGG
This 253-nucleotide ribosomal RNA is filed under the name uncultured bacterium. Its description in RNAcentral is "partial 16S ribosomal RNA". It matches the Rfam family "Bacterial small subunit ribosomal RNA", at positions 524 to 776 of the family's 1533-position model. The record is from RNAcentral.